AACUUAAAGGAAUUGACGGGCCCCGCACAAGCAGCGGAGCGUGUGGUUUAAUUCGAUGCUACACGAAGAACCUUACCAGGGUUUGACAUACAAGUAGUAGGGAAAGGAAACUGGACCGACCCUUCGGGGAGCUUGAACAGGUGCUGCAUGGCUGUCGUCAGCUCGUGUCGUGAGAUGUUCGGUUAAGUCCGCUAACGAGCGCAACCCUCGCUGUGUGUUACAAGUGUCACACGGAACUGCCGGUCAUAAACCGGAGGAAGGUGGGGAUGACGUCAAGUCAGCAUGGCCUUUAUAUCCUGGGCUACACACACGCUACAAUGGGAAGGGACAAUAGGUUGCGAAACCGCGAGGUGGAGCCAAUCCAGCAAAACUUCCCUCAGUUCAGAUUGCAGGCUGCAACUCGCCUGCAUGAAGUUGGAGUUGCUAGUAAACGCAGGUCAGCCAUACUGCGUUGAAUACGUUCCCGGGGCUU
RNAcentral lists this ribosomal RNA (472 nucleotides) under uncultured Levilinea sp. RNAcentral describes it as "bacterial SSU rRNA". It matches the Rfam family "Bacterial small subunit ribosomal RNA", at positions 898 to 1382 of the family's 1533-position model. Lineage: Bacteria; Bacillati; Chloroflexota; Anaerolineae; Anaerolineales; Anaerolineaceae. The record is from RNAcentral.